AGUGAGCGCUGGCGGUAGGCCUAACACACGCAAGUCGAACGGCAGCACAGUAAGAGCUUGCUCUUACGGGUGGCGAGUGGCGGACGGGUGAGGAAUACAUCGGAAUCUACUUUUUCGUGGGGGAUAACGUAGGGAAACUUACGCUAAUACCGCAUACGACCUACGGGUGAAAGCAGGGGAUCUUCGGACCUUGCGCGAUUGAAUGAGCCGAUGUCGGAUUAGCUAGUUGGCGGGGUAAAGGCCCACCAAGGCGACGAUCCGUAGCUGGUCUGAGAGGAUGAUCAGCCACACUGGAACUGAGACACGGUCCAGACUCCUACGGGAGGCAGCAGUGGGGAAUAUUGGACAAUGGGCGCAAGCCUGAUCCAGCCAUACCGCGUGGGUGAAGAAGGCCUUCGGGUUGUAAAGCCCUUUUGUUGGGAAAGAAAAGCAGCAGGUUAAUACCCCGCUGUUCUGACGGUACCCAAAGAAUAAGCACCGGCUAACUUCGUG
RNAcentral lists this ribosomal RNA (492 nucleotides) under uncultured bacterium. RNAcentral describes it as "partial 16S ribosomal RNA". It matches the Rfam family "Bacterial small subunit ribosomal RNA", at positions 29 to 507 of the family's 1533-position model. The record is from RNAcentral.